AGCGCUCUGAGAUCGCAGUGACAGGCUGUCACUGCGAUCAGAGCACUCUGAGAUCGCAGUGACAGCCUGUCACUGCGAUCUCAGACU
This 87-nucleotide microRNA precursor is filed under the name Pelobates cultripes (western spadefoot toad). Lineage: Eukaryota; Metazoa; Chordata; Amphibia; Anura; Pelobatidae. The record is from RNAcentral.